RNAcentral lists this ribosomal RNA (253 nucleotides) under uncultured bacterium. RNAcentral describes it as "partial 16S ribosomal RNA". It matches the Rfam family "Bacterial small subunit ribosomal RNA", at positions 524 to 776 of the family's 1533-position model. The record is from RNAcentral.
UACGAAGGGAGCUAGCGUUGUUCGGAAUCACUGGGCGUAAAGCGCACGUAGGCGGAUGUGUCAGUCAGGGGUGAAAUCCCGGAGCUCAACUUCGGAACUGCCCUUGAUACAGCACGUCUUGAGUCCGGAAGAGGUGGGUGGAAUUCCUAGUGUAGAGGUGAAAUUCGUAGAUAUUAGGAAGAACACCGGUGGCGAAGGCGGCCCACUGGUCCGGUACUGACGCUGAGGUGCGAAGGCGUGGGGAGCAAACAGG